Molecule: non-coding RNA, 967 nt
Organism: Coffea arabica (coffee)
Lineage: Eukaryota; Viridiplantae; Streptophyta; Magnoliopsida; Gentianales; Rubiaceae
Source: RefSeq, a predicted model, not a curated record
AGCCAGGAUACAUUUUUUUUUUUUAAAAAGGUACCUCGCAUUUCUCAGUCUCUUUCACCUAAACCCAAAAACAGAGCUCCGUUCUUUACAUCAAACAUUCGGCAUUCAAAUCCAUAAGCAGAGGGGCAGAAAUUGGAACGAAACUUUGCACAUCCAGCUCACUCUCUCGUCUUUUGCUUAGCUAGACACCAGUCCAAGCUUCCAAGAGGAAAUUGCCCAAAAUCCCUCAAUCUCUUUCUUUCUCGUCGGUUGUUGUCCGCCAUUGUUGAGCUUCCACCAGACGCCAUUUGCACGCCAACCAGCUGCCAUUUCUGCCUCAGCAGUCAUCCCCAACCAAUUUUGUGACCCUUUGCGCUGCACAUUUUCUUUUCCCUUCGCAAAUGGCUUUCAAAUUCGUGGCUGUGCUCUGUAGCUCACAAACAGCAUAAAAGAACUUAUAACAGGUUCCAUAUACAGCUUGACUCGCUUUGGUUAACACUCUGCUUAGCAAGUUGUCAUAUCCAUAUUGUUGGAGAUGGAGGAGCUACGGCAACUCUCCCAAGCAUUUAUAUCAAUUUCACAAUGUUUCCGGGAGCUAAUCAUGUCACGGAUCAUUUAUCUAAGAGGGCUUCUCAUAGCUAAGCCUUUCAAAUUUCAUGGAUUUUGGAUGUCUCACAAUGAUUUCCCUCAGCUACUUCAUAAGGCAUGGCGUACUGAAUUUCAAGGUGACCCUAUGAGGACUUUCUGUUUGAAACUGAAAGAGGUAAAGAAGGCAUUAAAAGAGUUAAAUAAGAAAGAAUUCUGGGAUAUCUCUGCCAAAACUAUUCAUGCACAAGAGGCUCUAUAGUCUGCUCAAUUGGAGUCUAGUUCAUUGUAGUAGUAUUAUUGUAUAGCUUAAUUGGUUGUAGAAGUACUUUUGUGUAGCAGAUUCCUCUGCUCUUGUGUACAUUCAUGUUCUAUUCAAUAAAAUCCCUUUUUACGUAAAAAA